Molecule: ribosomal RNA, 575 nt
Filed under: uncultured bacterium
Lineage: Bacteria
Description: bacterial SSU rRNA
Rfam family: Bacterial small subunit ribosomal RNA
Source: RNAcentral
GAUUCCUACGGGAGGCAGCAGUGGGGAAUAUUGGGCAAUGGAGGAAACUCUGACCCAGCGACGCCGCGUGCGGGAUGAAGGCCUUCGGGUUGUAAACCGCUUUCAGUAGGGAAGAAGCGAAAGUGACGGUACCUACAAAAGAAGCACCGGCUAACUAUGUGCCAGCAGCCGCGGUAAUACAUAGGGUGCAAGCGUUGUCCGGAAUUAUUGGGCGUAAAGAGCUCGUAGGUCGUUUGUUACGUCGGAUGUGAAAACCUGAGGCUCAACCUCAGGCCUGCAUUCGAUACGGGCAAACUAGAGUUUGGUAGGGGAGACUGGAAUUCCUGGUGUAGCGGUGGAAUGCGCAGAUAUCAGGAGGAACACCAAUGGCGAAGGCAGGUCUCUGGGCCAAUACUGACACUGAGGAGCGAAAGUCUGGGGAGCGAACAGGAUUAGAUACCCUGGUAGUCCAGACCGUAAACGGUGGGCACUAGUUGUGGGAACCUUCCACGGUUUCUGCGACGCAGCUAACGCAUUAAGUGCCCCGCCUGGGGAGUACGAUCGCAAGAUUAAAACUCAAAGGAAUUGACGGAAUC